This 71-nucleotide transfer RNA is filed under the name Cordylochernes scorpioides. RNAcentral describes it as "tRNA-Gly". It matches the Rfam family "tRNA". From Rfam's summary of the family: Transfer RNA (tRNA) molecules are approximately 80 nucleotides in length. Their secondary structure includes four short double-helical elements and three loops (D, anti-codon, and T loops). The record is from RNAcentral. Lineage: Eukaryota; Metazoa; Arthropoda; Arachnida; Pseudoscorpiones; Chernetidae.
GCAUCGGUGGUUCAGUGGUAGAAUGCUUGCCUCCCACGCGGGCGCCCCGAGUUCGAUUCCCGGCCGAUGCA